This 254-nucleotide ribosomal RNA is filed under the name uncultured bacterium. Its description in RNAcentral is "partial 16S ribosomal RNA". It matches the Rfam family "Bacterial small subunit ribosomal RNA", at positions 524 to 776 of the family's 1533-position model. The record is from RNAcentral.
UACGGGGGGAGCAAGCGUUGUUCGGAUUUACUGGGCGUAAAGGGCGCGUAGGCGGUCGUGACAAGUCACUUGUGAAAUCUCUGAGCUUAACUCAGAACGGCCAAGUGAAACUGUUGUGCUAGAGUGCAGAAGGGGCAAUCGGAAUUCUUGGUGUAGCGGUGAAAUGCGUAGAUAUCGAGAGGAACACCUGCGGCGAAGGCGGGUUGCUGGGCUGACACUGACGCUGAGGCGCGAAAGCUAGGGGAGCGAACGGG